Molecule: long non-coding RNA, 653 nt
Organism: Rosa rugosa (rugosa rose)
Lineage: Eukaryota; Viridiplantae; Streptophyta; Magnoliopsida; Rosales; Rosaceae
Exons: 3
Source: RefSeq, a predicted model, not a curated record
CGGCUUAUGAAAUAUCGAUUUCUAUUGUGGUUAUAAACAUCGGUCGUUAAAUUAACCGAUGUGUAAACUUUCGUUCAAAAAUUUUGAAAAAAACACGGAGGGACUAAGUUAAAAAGUUUGAGAAACGCGGGGUCCAAAAUUUUAAUUCCUCCAACACUUAGUCAUUUUGUCUGAAACUUUCGAACCCUAAUUGAUAAACUCUCACUGCCUCCUUCUUCGCGUUCCCGACCUCAGCUCCUUCUCCAAUUAACCUGACCCGCGCCCCCGACCACAGCUCCUUCUCCGACCUGACCCGGGGCCCCGACCUCAGCUCAGAGCCUGGAGCUCGUUCUUCGUCCUGACCUCGAGCUCAUUCUCCGACCUAAGCCACCUCAAGCCUUUUCUCCGACCACCACCAGCGUCCGGUUUCGAAUUUGAUUUCUUCUAGUUGAGGGAUUCAAGUUGAUUUUGCUUCCGCCCGAAACCCUAUUCAACUCUUCCCGUGAUUUGGUAAUUUCUUUCCGAUUGGCAAAUCUCUCUUUUCUAACUUUGUUUCCGACUUUCCAGGUUGCCCAAGCGAAGAAGCCCAUCAUUGCUCCUCCUCCCAAAAGCCAGUGGAUUUUGAUUUAUGAUGCGAUUGCUUUUAAAAUUGUUGCAAUAUGGGGACCAAGAGG